RNAcentral lists this ribosomal RNA (487 nucleotides) under uncultured bacterium. Its description in RNAcentral is "bacterial SSU rRNA". It matches the Rfam family "Bacterial small subunit ribosomal RNA", at positions 28 to 507 of the family's 1533-position model. The record is from RNAcentral.
GAUGAACGCUAGCGGCAGGCCUAACACAUGCAAAUCGAGGGGUAACAUAGAAAAGCUUGCUUUUCUGAUGACGACCGGCGCACGGGUGCGUAACGCGUAUACAACCUACCUUUUAGCGGGGAAUAGCCCAGGGAAACUUGGAUUAAUGCCCCAUAGUAUAUAGACUUCUCCUGAAGUUUAUAUUAAACAUUUAUGGCUAUUAGAUGGGUAUGCGUCCUAUUAGUUAGUUGGUAAGGUAACGGCUUACCAAGGCAGCGAUAGGUAGGGGUCCUGAGAGGGAGAUCCCCACACUGGUACUGAGACACGGACCAGACUCCUACGGGAGGCAGCAGUGAGGAAUAUUGGACAAUGGGCGAGAGCCUGAUCCAGCCAUGCCGCGUGCAGGAAGACUGCCCUAUGGGUUGUAAACUGCUUUUACAGAGGAAGAACCACCCCCACGUGUGGGGGUUUGACGGUACUCUGCGAAUAAGGAUCGGCUAACUCCGUG